Molecule: transfer RNA, 73 nt
Filed under: Vitis vinifera (wine grape)
Lineage: Eukaryota; Viridiplantae; Streptophyta; Magnoliopsida; Vitales; Vitaceae
Rfam family: tRNA
About the family: Transfer RNA (tRNA) molecules are approximately 80 nucleotides in length.
Source: Rfam by way of RNAcentral
GCCGGGAUAACUCAACUGAUAGAGCAGAGGAUUGAAAAUCCUCAUAUCACUAGUUCAAAUCCAAUUCCUGGCA